RNAcentral lists this long non-coding RNA (842 nucleotides) under Homo sapiens (human). RNAcentral's name for it is "HSALNT0302043". The record is from RNAcentral. Lineage: Eukaryota; Metazoa; Chordata; Mammalia; Primates; Hominidae.
AAAAAAAAAAAAAAGUAAGUUCCUUUGGCUCCUCCUUCUGGGUCUGUCCCCUCUCCCCCAGCAGCAGACAUGGCGCUGUCCAUUUCUGGAAGGUUCAGGCCAGGAAGGACACAGGUGUCACCUUGCCCAGAGGUGACCAAAGGUUCUUCGGCUGUGGGCUGGUUCUGCAAAUGAAACCUUAGGGGUGAUGGUCGGUGUAUAACGCUAAGACCAGAGCUGCAAUGGCUCUGAUUCUCCGCCAUAGAGUGCCAGGGCUCUGGGAGGAGCAUUUGAAAACCACAUAUCUCAUGCCCAAUCCUCAUUUUACAGUGGCCCAGAGCAGGAAAACCAAAGGUAUAAGGUUGGGACCAGAGGAAAAGCUGUCACACACACGAGGUCUCGCUCUGUUGCCCAGACUGGUCCUAAACUCCUGGCCUCAAGUACUCCUCCUGCUUGGGCCUUCCAAAUUGUUGGGAUCAUAGAUGCAGAAACCACGGCCCAGGGAAGACGCAGCUUGAGCAAGGUCACCGGCAGUUUCCUUUGCAGUAAAAUGGGAAUAAAAAGAAAAUCUACGUAACAGUAGAUAUUCUGUGAGGAUUACGUGAAUUCAUAUUUGAAGAGUGAGUAGAAGGGUUCCUGGCACAAGCUCUACAAGUGUGGCUGGAAUGAAUAUGAUGAUGAGGAUGAAGAUGAGGAUGGCGGGGCUGGAGCUCAAGUGCCAUACUGUGUCCUGGAGCAGAAGCCACGUGUUGAGGACAGUCUGGACCCUUAACGAGGGUUGAGCCACGACACCAGCCUGUGACUGUUUACCUCUUGAGUUUGUUUACAGGAGAAGAAAAUAAACUCUCACCUUGUUUAACACA